This 621-nucleotide long non-coding RNA is filed under the name Papio anubis (olive baboon). RNAcentral describes it as "lncRNA (ENSPANG00000039414.1)". Lineage: Eukaryota; Metazoa; Chordata; Mammalia; Primates; Cercopithecidae. The record is from RNAcentral.
UUAUCUGGCCAUUCUGUCUUCGCAGGGGUUCUUUUCCAUUUCGGGGGAAGGGAGGAAAGGGUGGAAGCCGCUUCCACCCACUACAGUUCGGGCUUGAGUCAGCUCCUAGGUGUCGCGGAGCACGCCCCGGUGCCACCGACGGGGCCAUUUCCGCCGCGGAGGCCGAGACAGCGCCGCCCGCUCGCGAAGGGUCCAGCUGACCGGCAGGCUCGCGCUCGCGGCGCCAGCUCUAUUCUCUUCUGGUCACCAGGGGGCGCCAGAAGCAAUGGCGUGUCCAGAAAGGGACGGCGGCCACGUGACAGGGGGGUCACGCGCAGGGUCGUGGGGGACCGCCUGGGGAUUCCCGGACGGCUGCCAGGAGUGAGCGGCAAAGUGCCGAGCCGGCUUGGGCUGCUUUCCUCGCUCCACCGCCUGCUCGUUUCGUCGUGCGCGGGCCGGACGGUGGGGCUGCAGCGGCGAAAGCGCCUGAAGUUCCGGAGCAGUCGCAUGAGCUUACCGGUUACCAGGAGGCCCCGGGAACAGACACCUCACCCUGACAUUGUGGCAGGAACUUCUGGACUGUUUUCCAAAGUGGCUGCACUGUUUUCUCUCCUCACUGGUAAAUGGCAGGAAAACAUCUAA